RNAcentral lists this ribosomal RNA (388 nucleotides) under uncultured bacterium. RNAcentral describes it as "bacterial SSU rRNA". It matches the Rfam family "Bacterial small subunit ribosomal RNA", at positions 30 to 418 of the family's 1533-position model. The record is from RNAcentral.
UGAACGCUGGCGGCAUGCCUUACACAUGCAAGUCGAGCGGCAGCGCGGGGGCAACCCUGGCGGCGAGCGGCGAACGGGUGAGUAAUGCAUCGGAACGUGUCCUCUUGUGGGGGAUAACCGGUCGAAAGACUGGCUAAUACCGCAUGAGCUCGAGAGAGGAAAGCGGGGGAUCCGCGAGGACCUCGCGCGAGAGGAGCGGCCGAUGUCCGAUUAGCUAGUUGGUAGGGUAACGGCCUACCAAGGCGACGAUCGGUAGCUGGUCUGAGAGGACGGCCAGCCACACUGGGACUGAGACACGGCCCAGACUCCUACGGGAGGCAGCAGUGGGGAAUUUUGGACAAUGGGCGCAAGCCUGAUCCAGCCAUGCCGCGUGUGUGAAGAAGGCCUU